Molecule: ribosomal RNA, 349 nt
Filed under: Dosinia angulosa
Lineage: Eukaryota; Metazoa; Mollusca; Bivalvia; Venerida; Veneridae
Description: partial 16S ribosomal RNA
Rfam family: Bacterial large subunit ribosomal RNA
Source: RNAcentral
UGCAAUGAGAGUUGUGCUAAGGUAGCGUGGUAAUUUGUCUUUUAAUUAGAGAAUGGUAUGAAAGGUUUUAUGUGGAAAAACUGUCUUUAUAAGACUUUAUGAAUUUUUCUUUUAGGUGAAAAGACCUAUGUAUUUGUAAAAGACGAGAAGACCCUGUCGAGCUUGAUUAGAAUUUCUAAGAUGUUAUAAUUUAAAAUUUUAUUGGGGCAAUAUAAAUCAAAAUAACGGUUUAUUUUUAUAAGAAUCCCCUUAGAGGGAGUAAAGCAAAAGCUACCGCAGGGAUAACAGCGUUAUCCUUUUUAAGAGAUCUUAUUGAGAAAAGGGUUUGCGACCUCGAUGUUGGAUUAUA